AGCCACAGCCAUAUCACCCUGCAGCCCAAGACUGGUUGCCCACUGAAGCUAAGCAGGGUUGAGUCUGGUCAGUACCUGGAUGGGAGACCUCCAGGGAAAACUAGGUUGCUGUUGGAA
This 117-nucleotide ribosomal RNA is filed under the name Sinocyclocheilus anshuiensis. Lineage: Eukaryota; Metazoa; Chordata; Actinopteri; Cypriniformes; Cyprinidae. The record is from RNAcentral.